This 1630-nucleotide long non-coding RNA is filed under the name Equus caballus (horse). RNAcentral's name for it is "lncRNA (ENSECAG00000059493.1)". The record is from RNAcentral. Lineage: Eukaryota; Metazoa; Chordata; Mammalia; Perissodactyla; Equidae.
AAGGUUACAAUCUGAUAGAUUUUAGUUCACUCUCCAUUCACCUUAGCCUGCCACUAGGCAGACAACAGGAAUUCUGUCAGCAUAGUUUCAGGAUGUACUUUCUAAGAGCCCCCCACCCUACACUCGAAAACACAAACGCACACAAUUUUAUCAGGGAGACCGGAGCUGCCCAGAGAGGCCUUUACAGUCAAAAGGAAAAGCAGCCAAAGCAAUGGGCUUUGCUUCUUUGGGAGAUUGACUUGACCUUGGCCUCUUGUUUACAAGGUUAAGUUAAAGUAAAUGCAGUAGAUCACAUCAUGUCAUAAAAUGAAUUUUUAAGAAUUAAAAGCACGGGGAGCCAAAGAGGAGACAACAGCAACAAAAUUUGAGAAGUUUUAGCUGGAAAAGUGGAAGAGUGGUAAAAGAUGUAGUAGACUAACAAAACUGAAUCUUAAGGCAGAAAUGAAGUAAAUCAAUAACCAAACCCAUGUAUACUGCACUGUCACCAAAAGACUCAUAACUGCCAGCUCCCGGUUCCUCUUGAAGUGAAGUGAGGAAAGGGGGAAGUACUAUAAGGAGGAUUGGUUGCAAAUCUGUUUAAUAAGAGGCAAUCAGAUCCCCCAGAUUCCCUUCUCGGCUCCAUGUAGUCAAGCAAACAAACCUCCUCACUUACCUGGGCAAAAUACUACAAACUUCCUCUCUGCAGAUGGUGAUAUGGCAGGUCUCUAGAGGGUAGGGGGAUUAAGUGAACAUUUGUAUAUUGGAUGCUGAGGACCCCAAAUUUCUUCACCAACUUGGCUCCCAGAUUCCAGUCAUGAAGCUUUCAACUUCCAAGGAAGAGAUUAGAAGAUCCUUCUAUGUGGAGUCUGAUCAACUCAAGAGGAAGGAUCUGAAGACACUGACAUGGAAGGUUCCCCAACUAUAAGCCCCAACAAAUCACUCUACAGGGAAGUUGACAGCUGACAACCCCCCACCCAUUCACUCAGAGUUUCCCAUAAGCAUUUUGAGGCCCUAUUCUUAAAUAUGAGCAGACAACAAAGGAUGAUCAGACAUGUGAGGGAAGCUACUAUUAUGUGAGACAUUUAGAGCACUUAGAAUUGAAAACAGGAGAGUAUAAAUGGGAAAAAAAAAAAAAAAAAAAAAAAAAAACCUUGAUAAAAAGGAUUGGAAGAGAAAGUUAAGGAAAUGUUCUAUAAGGCAGAGCAAAAGGCAGAGAGGACCAGUUCAGGAAGUUCAAAAUCCAAACAAUAAGGGCUCCAGAAAGCAAGAUGAGGGGGAAAAAAUGAGGAAAAUCAUCAAUGGAAUAAACUAAGAAAUAUUUCCAGAAUUAAAGUACAUGAGUUAAUUAAUUAAAUCGGUUCCCCAAGUACCCACCACAGUGGAUAAAAAGAGAUCUAUACCAAAGCAUGUGAUCAGGAAAUUUGAGCACACACUAACCAAAGAGAAGACCUUCGAGCUUCUAGAGAGAACACAAAACAGAACAAAUACAAAGGACUAAAAAUCAAAAUGGCAUCCAUUAUUUAACAACACUGGAACCCAGAGUGCAAUGGAACAAGGCCUUCAAACAUCCUGAAGAAAAAAAAAUAUUUGCUAAAUGAAUUAAUAAUUUGGAAGUCUUUUAAAAAUAACUCUGUAUAUCAUUUUAAAACCA